AUAAAAGGAAACCUGGUCUCAGGGAAAAGAAAAAGUACUACUUGGUCAGUGGAAGAAAUAAAAAUCCAAAUAACUAUACUCAAUAUUAACAGCCUCAUGCGCAUUCUUUUAUACUCUUCUCUAUGUCUCCUUGUCCAUAUAAGCGUUUUAUAAUAUUGCUUUUAAUGAGUUAGUGUGAAUUCUGGCUGGAGAGGUCUUAGAAGGAGCAUUUGAGCUGGACAAUGAAGGAUGAGUAAGAGUUCAGCAAGUGGGGAAGUGGCCACAGGGCAUUCUUUGUCAACGGGUACAGGGAGAGCAAAGUCAUGGAGGAUUGGCAGCAUCUGGUGAGUUUAGGUGCUGUUUGUCACUUUGUCAACUUUGUAUGACUAGAACACAGAGUUUUUGGUACAGAGGGCACAAAUGGAGUUGGAAAGGUUGGAUGGACCAUUGUUUAAAGACUCUAUACAUCAGGCUAAGGGAUUCAGAUUUGACUUGGCAGGUAAUGGUGGUCCAGCAAAGCUUUUUAAUCAAGGCAAUAUUUUUAAAUCAGGUCUGUAUUUUGUAAAUAUCUUGAUGGUAACAUUAUGAUAUGUUAUGACAUGGAUUGAAGGAGGAAAGGGAUAGAAAGAAAACAGACAAAUUAGCUAUUGUAAAUGCUCUUUUCUAGCUCUCUAAUGUCGGAAAUCUAUACACAUGCUGAUGUCAUUCCUUAGCUUCUUAGCAGAUGACAUGUUCAAUCUACUCUUAAAUCUAACCAUUUACUUUUUAAAAAUAUUUAAAUAUUGUAAAAAUACUAUUUUAAUAUAUUGUCCUUUUCAUAAACAGGCCCUUCAUACAAAUAAUGCCAUCUUAUAAUGGAGCCUUAUUUUCUAUUAUUAUUUUCUCUUGCAAAUAUCCAUUUCAGCCCAGGUGGUAAAUAAUGAGGAAACAGGGAAAUAAGAGAUUGAAAGUGACCAAGAUAAUUCUACCAUAGGUAGCGGCUUAUCAGGAAAAAGUAGUUUGCCAUAUUAUAAGAAAAGGAAGUGAAAGCAGCAAGGAAGCCUGGCAUGGGGUUUGAGAGGUAGACUCCACUUACCUUAGUGAACUAUUUUGGGGAUUGAGAUGGAAAAUAAGUGUGUUUUGUUGGCUCUGAGGUGCUAAACAUAGAAAUGGAAUUAGUAUUUUAUAGGCGGGGGUAGUCUUAGAAGUCAAAGACAAGUAAAUUCAACAUAUUUCUUUACCAGAGCAAGAUUCCAUUUGUAUAUAAGUAAAUAUACAUAUAUGUGUUCAUACAUACUCUUGACCCAAAGGAAAUACACUAAAAUAUUACCUCACAAUGGGAGCCAAAGAAGGGGUAGGAUUUUAAGGAUAUGCCUGUGUGUAGUAACGUAGGAAAUAUUGGGAAACACUUGAGAAGAAUAGAAGUCACAGUAAUACUAGGGCCCAGGAAUAGAUAACCUAGAGCAGAGGCAAUAUCUAGGCUUUUGAAUUAAAUACAGAUUUUACCAUAGUUAUGAAUAUUUGUUUCAUCUGUCUUAUAAAAAAUUAGAUUGUCAACAGGUAAAGCUAAAACCCUCUCUGAAGAUCAGUUCCAGCCCUUUCUUCCCUCACCACAGAUAGAUACUCUCAUCAGUCUGGCAUGUAUCUUUCUGAGAAUAAGUUGGUGGGGAGGAAACUGUCCAUUUAUAGAAAGAGUUGGAAAUGAGAGCCAAGCUCAAGACUGGUGAGAAUCAUUAUGAUUCUAUAGAAAGCAAAGACUUUACACAGAGACUGUUUUAUAUUCUUUUAUGGCCACAAGAGGAGACAGAGGAGAGCCUCAGGGGAAAAAAAAAAAAAAAGGUGUAUUAAACUUACACGUCCUAGAGACAGGAGGCACAGCAGGCCACUCAGGGUCAUGCAGGAAAGAAGACACCAGGGUGGUCAGGAGGCAGAAGACAGAAGAAAGGGAAGGUUUAGGCCACUGCCUUUUGAGGGAUUUUCUUGGGAAAUGCAAGGCAAGGCAGGGUGAACAGUUUAGGAUUGGCUAGUUUGAAUAAUUUGCGUGGGUUGGCUGGCUCCUGGCCCUGGCAUGACUAAGGCAGAGGAAUAUCCCCUCCUGGGAUAUUCCGCUGGGGUGUAUAGGUCGGAUGGAUGAGGUGUGGCACUGGACAGGUUCAUCGGUAUGUGAAAAGGCAUACUCCAGCCUGGGCGCUUUCUUUUCUUUCAGAAUUAACAAGCCACAGGAGAGGCAGACUCUCGGUAACCAGAAAAGCUUUUUAAGAUGUCGAGAACAUCAUAAUAUGUAUAAAGAAAAAUUUUAAAUAUUUACAAUACAGAGACUUUACAUUUAACUUGAAAAGGUAUCUGACACCUAUGUAAUUGACAGAGAUGAGGCAUGAGCUUGUUUCAUUGCUUGUUAGGGUGAUUAUAUCCAAGGUCGAUUAUCCUUAAGUGCACUGUGUCUAGUUUCUACUUUUAAUGGAAAGCUUUUCAAAUUACAUCUUGUGAGAGACUGAGUGUUUAUGUUAUACCAUCUGUCAUUUCUCAGGAAGUAAAAAAGGAAAAGCCACCCAUUCUGUCUCUUUCAUAGAACCUUUGCCCCAGGCUAUUAAUAACAGAGGGUUCUCCUAUAAGUGAAUAGCAAAAGAAAAAUCACAGAUGCUUCAUGUUUAAGCAAAUACUUGUUAUUUCUUGGGAAAUGUGCCCAGUCAAAACCAAUCUCCAGGCCAGAAAAUUAAAAUUUAUGGUCCAGAUAAAUGAAAUCAAUGACUAGUGUUCAAAAAUAACCCAUGAAGAGUUCAAUGUUGAAGGGAUUUUCAACAUCUUGUGGUUGAGAAAAUAAGUAGGUCACACAGACAAAAAAAGAAAAAAAUCGAUUAGGCCAUAGCUCCUAAUAAAUGUGCUAUAAUGUAACUAUGCAAUAUUAACUGCCAAAAUGUUUUAACUGGUCUAGAUAUUUAAGGCUUGAAGUCUGUGGAUGUUUCAAACCCACCCACGCCAAUCCUAGAAAAGGAAAACAAGUUGUUAGAGUAGAAAAGAAACCAAUAUGUUAAGGGGUUAGUAAAAAAAAACCAAUUAUAUCUAAUACCAACUAUCUAAUUUAUUCAUAAGCUUAUGUAUGUUCAUAUUUCAUAUUUGUACUUGUCUUUAUUCAAAUUCUAUUUUCAGAGUCUAAAAGCUGUUAGGAGUUUGUUUUCUUUUGGCAUUUGCCAAGGUCUCAUUAUUUUCUGAGGCAGUCCUACUGGCACAACUCAGAGGAAGUAUUAAUACAUAAAAAUGUCCCAUGUGCUAAGCCUCUAAGCAUAUUUGCUAUUUUCAGACUUUAGUAACGGCAAAUAUAUGUCGUGCUUCUAUUUAAGCCAAAAUGAAGGCUAAUUAUUAACAACUGAAGAAUGAGCUACUACGAUAUGCAAAACUCCCUGUACUUAGAGUCUGCAGGUGCCUAAUUCUACAAAUAAUAUUGUAGAAAAAUAAUAUUCUACAAUAAUAUUCUGAGUUUCCAUAAAGAAUACAUAUGUUUCAUCUAUACUGUGACUGAUUCAGUCUUAAGAACUCACACUGUUUGGUAAACAAUUCUGUCAUAAUUAUCAAUAAUUAUAAGUGGAUGUGGUAUAAUAAAGAGAUGACUAAAUGUGGCACUUCAGCUGUUGAAUGUGAAGGGCAUGAUGAAAGUGUGGAAUGACAGGUAAAAGAGAGAUUCCCUCACCUUCCAGCUCUUCAAACUAUCCUUGAAUGAUACCUCCUAAAGGAUCAUCAAAUAGUGAUGGGCUAACAAAAGCCAGUGUCACCAACCUGAUGUUCAAUAUUAAAACGACACAUAUAUUGCUCAUCUACUAUAAGGCAUGGUAGGUAUCUUUCAUGAUCUGCCUUCUCCACAGAUAUAUGAGUAACUACAGGGAUGGGCUGGCCAUAUUUGGUCCUGUUUACCUGUUGCUCACGGGCAUAGAUUGCUGGUUGUUGUUGCUGUUGUGGUAUUGUUGUUGUUCAUGUUUUCAUGCUUUACUAGGCUUUGAAGUCAGAUAGCUGUUCCUACUUCAGGCUUCACCUUGAAUAUGUUAGUGAAACCCUCUAAAUCUCAGUCUCCUCAACUAUACAAUGGGAAUAAGAAGAACAUUUAUUUCAUAGGGCUAUUAUAAAGAAUAAAUAAGAUAAUGUAUGUGAAGUUCUUGCACAGUACCUGGUACCUAAAACAUGCAAUAAAUGUUAGGCAUUACUGAAGUCAUUAUAAUGAGUAUCAUCAUCCUCAUAUUUUUCUUAUUACUCUUAAAAAUGUAUCAAUUCCUUUUAUUAAGCAGUAUGAUUUUUCUAUUUUGUCCUCACAAGAGUAAGUCCUAAUAUCUGGGGAGUUGGUUUGAGGUCUUUGAAAUUACUACAUCUCUGCCACAGUUCUUUAGUUUAGAAAUAAAACACUUAUUAAAAAAAAAUUUCUCCUAAGAUUUAAAUGACAUUGAUGGUUCUAAACUUUAUUGUUUUAUGGCCAUUUUUAAAUAGUUUUUUAGAUUUUUAAACUUACUAAAUAUGAAUGUGAUAGUUCCUGAGAAUGGAGAGUGAUUUUAAAAGGAUAAACCAUUAAAAAAAAAAAAAAAAAA
Molecule: long non-coding RNA, 4526 nt
Organism: Cercocebus atys (sooty mangabey)
Lineage: Eukaryota; Metazoa; Chordata; Mammalia; Primates; Cercopithecidae
Exons: 2
Source: RefSeq, a predicted model, not a curated record